This is a long non-coding RNA of Brassica rapa (field mustard), 413 nucleotides long. RefSeq lists it as uncharacterized. Lineage: Eukaryota; Viridiplantae; Streptophyta; Magnoliopsida; Brassicales; Brassicaceae. The record is from RefSeq and is a predicted model, not a curated record.
CAUUUACCGAAAAAUUAAAUAUUUUCGUAGGGGUUAACCCAUAGAUUUUGAGAAAAAAUUUAAAAAAAAAAUGAAAAUUCUAUUUUAAUGCAUAGUUGCAUCCUUCACUAACAUAUGAUGAAGGUCAAAGAGGUUUGGAACCUUUGUUGUCUUUGUUUUUCUAGAGAAUAGCGAUUUUUAGUGGUUAAUCAACCAAUUUUAUGACUAUUAUGAAGUUUUACGAAAUUUAUUGACAAAAAAAUUAAACGAUGUCCAUGUACAAUGAAAGAGUGUUCAAUAUACAUUAAUACAAAUGUAGAUGUGUUUAGAAAUUUUAAAACAACACUAAAGAUCAUAGGCUUUAGUAUAUAAAACAUUUACAGAAAAAUUAUAUAUUUUCGUAGGGGGUUAACCCAUAGAUUUUGAGAAAAAUU